RNAcentral lists this ribosomal RNA (492 nucleotides) under Trimeresurus albolabris (white-lipped tree viper). Its description in RNAcentral is "partial 12S ribosomal RNA". It matches the Rfam family "Bacterial small subunit ribosomal RNA", at positions 831 to 1522 of the family's 1533-position model. The record is from RNAcentral. Lineage: Eukaryota; Metazoa; Chordata; Lepidosauria; Squamata; Viperidae.
GCCUAGCCAUAACACACAAUUAAACUACAAAUUGUUCGCCAAACAACUACGAGUAAUACUUAAAACUUAAAAGACUUGACGGUACUUCACCCCGACCUAGAGGAGCCUGUCUAAUAACCGAUAACCCACGAUUAACCCAACCACUUCUUGCCCUACAGUCUAUAUACCGCCGUCGCCAGCUUACCUUGUAAAAGAAAUAAAGUGAGCCAAAUAGUAACACACUAAAACGACAGGUCGAGGUGUAACCUAUGAAGAGGCUAAGAUGGGCUACAUUCUCUAACAGAGAUACGAACAACACUAUGAAAUUAGUGUUCGAAGACGGAUUUAGCAGUAAGAUAAGAAUAGAACACCUAACUGAAAAUAACGCAAUGAAGUGCGCACACACCGCCCGUCACCCCUGCCACCACAAUAUUAAGCAUCAAUAAACUAACCCAACAAACUAACCAGGGCAAGUCGUAACAUGGUAGGUGUACUGGAAAGUGUACCUAGAAA